Molecule: transfer RNA, 47 nt
Filed under: Escherichia coli EC4422
Lineage: Bacteria; Pseudomonadati; Pseudomonadota; Gammaproteobacteria; Enterobacterales; Enterobacteriaceae
Description: partial tRNA-OTHER
Rfam family: tRNA
About the family: Transfer RNA (tRNA) molecules are approximately 80 nucleotides in length.
Source: RNAcentral
GCGUUGUUAGCUCAGCCGGACAGAGCAAUUGCCUUCUAAGCAAUCGG